UCCAUGGUAUUGUUUUGUGUAGCUAGUAUCAUCCUAAUACGAUAAUUUGAAGAAGUUGGUGAUCAUGUUUGAUCAUAGGCCCUUUUUCCAAUCAUUUGCAGUGGAUAGUGCUGAAUCACUUCCCUUGAUGGAAGGUGAAGGGAGAUCAUUUAGAGUAAAGGGAUUCAAUCAAAAUCAAAGGGCUGUAUUUGUUCAGAUUAUGAUGAGAUUUGGAGUUGGGUAGUUUGACUGGGCAGAGUUCACGCCACGCUUGAAGCAAAAGACUUGCGAAGAAAUUAAAGAAUAUGGGACUCUUUUCUUGACACACAUCGCUGAGGAUAUUACUGACUCACUAACCUUUUCAGAUGGUGUUCCUAAAGAAGGACUAAGGAUAGAAGAUGUACUUGUUAGGAUUGCAGUGUUACUUCUGAUAAGGGACAAAGUGAAGGCUGCAUCGGAAAAGCCAGGCACUCCCCUUUUCCCAGAUGACAUAGUAUCUCGUUUCCCAGGAUUGAAGAGUGGAAGGUUUUGGAAAGAGCAUCAUGAUCUAUUACUACUCCGUUCUGUAUUAAAGUAUGUUUCUUUUUUAUGUUUAUUUCUCUUUUCUGUUCUAAAAAGAGGUAAAUUGAACGAAAUGGAGAUAGAAAGGAAGAUGCAUCCUUUAUAAAGAAGGGAAAGAUAUGAGAGAAGUAUUAAAGUACAUAGCUGUAAGUUAUAGUUUGAUGGGAAUUUUAUGUGUUGGUGACAAUUAUUUUUUGAUUUGUUUAAUUUGAUUGACAACCACG
Camellia sinensis is the source of this 764-nucleotide non-coding RNA. The record is from RefSeq and is a predicted model, not a curated record. Lineage: Eukaryota; Viridiplantae; Streptophyta; Magnoliopsida; Ericales; Theaceae.